ACGCUCGACACCUACGGGGCAGCAGUGGGGAAUAUUGCACAAUGGGGGAAACCCUGAUGCAGCGACGCCGCGUGAGCGAAGAAGUAUUUCGGUAUGUAAAGCUCUAUCAGCAGGGAAGAUAAUGACGGUACCUGACUAAGAAGCUCCGGCUAAAUACGUGCCAGCAGCCGCGGUAAUCUGAGCGGGCUGGCAAGGC
RNAcentral lists this ribosomal RNA (196 nucleotides) under uncultured bacterium. Its description in RNAcentral is "partial 16S ribosomal RNA". It matches the Rfam family "Bacterial small subunit ribosomal RNA", at positions 326 to 539 of the family's 1533-position model. The record is from RNAcentral.